Molecule: ribosomal RNA, 397 nt
Filed under: uncultured bacterium
Lineage: Bacteria
Description: partial 16S ribosomal RNA
Rfam family: Bacterial small subunit ribosomal RNA
Source: RNAcentral
AUACGUAGGUGACAAGCGUUAUCCGGAUUUACUGGGCGUAAAGGGCGUGUAGGCGGUCUUGCUAGUCAGAAGUGAAAUUCCUGAGCUCAACUCGGGCGCUGCUUCUGAAACUGCAGGACUUGAGUGCUGGAGGGGAUAGCGGAAUUCCUAGUGGAGCGGUAAAAUGCGCAGAUAUUAGGAAGAACACCGGUGGCGAAGGCGACAAUCUGGACAAGAACUGACGUUGAGGCUCGAAAUCGUGGGGAGCAAACAGGAGUAGGUACCCUGGGAGUCCACGCCGGAAACGAUGAAUACUAGGUGUCGGGUUUCUAUAGAGAUUCGGUGCCGCAGCAAACGCAAUAAGUAUUCCACCUGGGGAGUACGUUCGCAAGAAUGAAACUCAAAUGAAUUGGCGGGG